This 820-nucleotide ribosomal RNA is filed under the name uncultured bacterium. Its description in RNAcentral is "bacterial SSU rRNA". It matches the Rfam family "Bacterial small subunit ribosomal RNA", at positions 9 to 815 of the family's 1533-position model. The record is from RNAcentral.
GAGUUUGAUCCUGGCUCAGGAUGAACGCCCCUGACAGGCUUAACACAUGCAAGUCGAGGGGCAGCGGUGGUGAAGGCUUGCCUUUACCAGCCGGCGACCGGCGCACGGGUGAGUAACACGUAUGCAACCUGCCUACCACAGCCGGAUAAUCGGGAGAAAUCCCGUCUAAUACGGCAUAAUGCACCUAUGGGACAUCCUGUUGGUGCCAAAGGUUAAUUCCGGUGGCGGAUGGGCAUGCGUCGCAUUAGUUAGUUGGCGGUGUAACGGACCACCAAGACGACGAUGCGUAGGGGUUCUGAGAGGAAGGUCCCCCACACUGGUACUGAGACACGGACCAGACUCCUACGGGAGGCAGCAGUGAGGAAUAUUGGUCAAUGGGCGGGAGCCUGAACCAGCCAAGUCGCGUGAGGGAUGACGGCCCUAUGGGUUGUAAACCUCUUUUGCCGGGGAGCAAAGUGCCGCACGUGUGCGGUUUGGAGAGUACCCGGAGAAAAAGCAUCGGCUAACUCCGUGCCAGCAGCCGCGGUAAUACGGAGGAUGCGAGCGUUAUCCGGAUUUAUUGGGUUUAAAGGGUGCGUAGGCGGACGCUUAAGUCAGCGGUAAAAUUGCGGGGCUCAACCUCGUCGAGCCGUUGAAACUGGGUGCCUUGAGUGGGCGGGAAGUACGCGGAAUGCGUGGUGUAGCGGUGAAAUGCAUAGAUAUCACGCAGAACUCCGAUUGCGAAGGCAGCGUACCGGCGCCCAACUGACGCUGAAGCACGAAGGCGUGGGUAUCGAACAGGAUUAGAUACCCUGGUAGUCCACGCAGUAAACGAUGAAUG